UACGUAGGGGGCUAGCGUUGUCCGGAAUCAUUGGGCGUAAAGCGCGUGUAGGCGGUCCGGUAAGUCCGCUGUGAAAGUCGAGGGCUCAACCCUCGAAUGCCGGUGGAUACUGUCGGGCUUGAGUACGGGAGAGGCGAGUGGAAUUCCUGGUGUAGCGGUGAAAUGCGCAGAUAUCAGGAGGAACACCGAUUGCGAAGGCAGCUCGCUGGAACGUUACUGACGCUGAGGCGCGAAAGCUAGGGGAGCAAACGGG
This 253-nucleotide ribosomal RNA is filed under the name uncultured bacterium. Its description in RNAcentral is "partial 16S ribosomal RNA". It matches the Rfam family "Bacterial small subunit ribosomal RNA", at positions 524 to 776 of the family's 1533-position model. The record is from RNAcentral.